UAUCUUGCGCCAUGGAGGGAACCCUGACGCAGCGACGCCGCGUGAGCGCUGAAGGUUUUCGGCUCGUCCGGCUCUUUCCUUGGGGCGGAAGGUCUUCGCUCUUGACGGUACCUAAGGCGGAAGCCGCGGCUAACUACGUGCCAGCAGCCGCGGUAAUACGUAGGGGGCAAGCGUUGUCCGGAAUUAUUGGGCGUAAAGGGCGCGUAGGCGGCCUAAUAAGUCAGAUGUGAAACCCCCGGGCUUAACCCUGGGCUUGCAUUUGAAACUGUUGGGCUUGAGGACAGGAGAGGAAAGCGGAAUUCCCAGUGUAGCGGUGAAAUGCGUAGAUAUUGGGAGGAACACCAGUGGCGAAGGCGGCUUUCUGGACUAUAACUGACGCUGAGGCGCGAAAGCCAGGGUAGCGAAC
RNAcentral lists this ribosomal RNA (406 nucleotides) under uncultured bacterium. Its description in RNAcentral is "partial 16S ribosomal RNA". It matches the Rfam family "Bacterial small subunit ribosomal RNA", at positions 359 to 773 of the family's 1533-position model. The record is from RNAcentral.